This 441-nucleotide ribosomal RNA is filed under the name uncultured bacterium. Its description in RNAcentral is "bacterial SSU rRNA". It matches the Rfam family "Bacterial small subunit ribosomal RNA", at positions 338 to 795 of the family's 1533-position model. The record is from RNAcentral.
CCUANGGGUGGCUGCAGUCGAGAAUCUUCCGCAAUGGGGGAAACCCUGACGGAGCGACGCCGCGUGCGGGAUGAAGGCCUUCGGGUUGUAAACCGCUGUCGGAGGGGAGCAAAUUAUGAGCGAUCCUCGGAGGAAGCACAGGCUAAACUCGUGCCAGCAGCCGCGGUAAUACGAGUUGUGCAAACGUUAUUCGGAAUCACUGGGCUUAAAGGGUGCGUAGGCGGCUACGAAAGUCAGAUGUGAAAUCCCUCGGCUCAACCGAGGAACUGCAUUUGAAACUUCAUAGCUAGAGGGAGGCAGAGGUGAGCGGAACUGAUGGUGGAGCGGUGAAAUGCGUUGAUAUCAUCAGGAACACCGGUGGCGAAGGCGGCUCACUGGGUCUUAUCUGACGCUGAGGCACGAAAGCCAGGGGAGCAAACGGGAUUAGAUACCCGUNUANUC